Molecule: unclassified non-coding RNA, 352 nt
Filed under: soil metagenome
Description: partial contains 5.8S ribosomal RNA, internal transcribed spacer 2, and large subunit ribosomal RNA
Rfam family: 5.8S ribosomal RNA (bases 1-120)
Source: RNAcentral
GAUGAAGAACGUAGCGAAAUGCGAUAAGUAAUGUGAAUUGCAGAAUUCAGUGAAUCAUCGAAUCUUUGAACGCACAUUGCGCCCGCCAGUAUUCUGGCGGGCAUGCCUGUUCGAGCGUCAUUACAACCCUCAGGCCCCCGGGCCUGGCGUUGGGGAUCGGCGGAGCCCCCCGUGGGCACACGCCGUCCCCCAAAUACAGUGGCGGUCCCGCCGCAGCUUCCAUCGCGUAGUAGCUAACACCUCGCGACUGGAGAGCGGCGCGGCCACGCCGUAAAACGCCCAACUCUUCUGAAGUUGACCUCGAAUCAGGUAGGAAUACCCGCUGAACUUAAGCAUAUCAAUAAGCGGAGGA